GUGCAUAUGAGACACUUAACGCUACACUUGGCACUUAUGGUGGAAGCUCCAUCGAAGUUAAUACUUCAAUCGCGUAUUAUCCUCGAUUUUACUAUAGUAAAAUCGAGGAUAAUACGCGAUUGGCGUAUUAACUUCGAUUGAGCUUACCACCAUUAGUGAUAUUUUCCGGCUCCCGAACCGACAUAAAUUACUGCAAUGCGGUUUAAACAAACACGAAAAAACGCGAUCUAGUGCGGGUUUCAGUUUAAUUUAUCAACGGAAAGUUCGAAAUAUUGAAGUCAGUCCUCAUUAACAAAGAGUCGGCGAGUCGGUAUUUCAUUCACUUUGAUACGUACAAAAGCCUCAAAAAACGCAGGACGUAUGCCGCAUGGAGACUAUGGACAUAAAAGAAGCUGACUGCAGAAGCUGUUUCAACAAGAAUGUUCCUGAGAAGGCAUGAAGGGGACGUGAUGGGGUUUUAUCGCUGGUCGCAAGGAAGCUCAGGAGUGCCCAGGAGCCCGGACCUGGCAUACGAAAUCUAAUAAUUCUCUGGAGUGCAUCUUAACUUGGAAGACGGAGCAGCAAUGGAAGCGGGUGCAAUAAAAACCGACACAGAACUCGUCGGCCAAACAACUACCGGCAUACGCGAAACAAACUGCAGUAGGAUCUUUAUUUUGCACCGACCGAAAUGAUUAUCUGCGCUAAUCUCUGUUCAAUUCAGUUUGUGAUGUACAAUUAUUAUUUAAAGAAAUAUCAAAAUAAAAAUAA
Aedes aegypti (yellow fever mosquito) is the source of this 747-nucleotide long non-coding RNA. RefSeq lists it as uncharacterized. The transcript is spliced from 2 exons. The record is from RefSeq and is a predicted model, not a curated record. NCBI's taxonomy places the organism in Eukaryota, Metazoa, Arthropoda, Insecta, Diptera, Culicidae.